GACGAACGCUGGCGGCGUGCUUAACACAUGCAAGUCGAACGGAAAGGCCCCUUUGGGGGUACUCGAGUGGCGAACGGGUGAGUAACACGUGAGUAACCUGCCCUUGACUUCGGGAUAACUUCAGGAAACUGGGGCUAAUACCGGAUAGGAAUCCUUGCUGCAUGGUGGGGGUUGGAAAGCUUCGGCGGUUUGGGAUGGACUCGCGGCUUAUCAGCUUGUUUGUGGGGUAGUGGCUUACCAAGGCUUUGACGGGUAGCCGGCCUGAGAGGGCGACCGGCCACAUUGGGACUGGGAUAAGGCCCAGACUCCUACGGGAGGCAGCAGGGGGGAAUAUUGCACAAUGGGCGGAAGCCUGAUGCAGCAACGCCGCGUGCGGGAUGACGGCCUUCGGGUUGUAAACCGCUUUCAGCAGGGGCGAAGCUUGUGGUGACGGUACCUGCAGAAGAAGCACCGGCUAACUACGUG
This 465-nucleotide ribosomal RNA is filed under the name uncultured bacterium. RNAcentral's name for it is "partial 16S ribosomal RNA". It matches the Rfam family "Bacterial small subunit ribosomal RNA", at positions 28 to 507 of the family's 1533-position model. The record is from RNAcentral.